Molecule: long non-coding RNA, 810 nt
Organism: Rhododendron vialii
Lineage: Eukaryota; Viridiplantae; Streptophyta; Magnoliopsida; Ericales; Ericaceae
Exons: 2
Source: RefSeq, a predicted model, not a curated record
AUAUGUGUAUAUGUGUGUUUGGUUGAUCAGGCUUGAGUUGUGUGCUAUGGACCAAGUGCGUGGGACCCAUAUGUGAUGGAGUUUCUUUUAAUAUAAGCCUUUAGAGUUAACUAUUAUUAAUUGUUAGCUUUAUGGGUGUUAGUGUAAUGACUCAAAACAUUAUAGAAGAUGGAACAAUAGUUUAAUUCUUGAAGGGGGCCAUAGUGCAAUUUUGAACUUUAAAAGGCUGAAGUCAGCCGAGAACUCUCUGGAGUUCUCUGUUUUCCCUGCUUUUUUUUUUUCCCCCUUUUCCCGUUCUCUCUCUCUGUCUCUCAACUCUACCCAAACCCUAGACUUCAACCCCAAAAUUGGAUGUCAAGAUUCGAGAAUCUCGCAAAAAGGCAAGAAGAGAACGUGAUCUACGGACAGAGGGCUACACAUCUAUCCCAACAAUGUUGCAUUUGGCCAACUUUGGUGUUCCUAGCAUUUCGGGAUUCGGCUCUUUUGAACCGGAAGCAUAUGGAUAAUGAGUUUAUCCGUCGGUGUAUAGUUCGUAAACCCACGCAGGAUAAGGUGUUCCAUAGGCUUUUGGGUUAGUAGCCCAUAAAUUUGGAUGAUUAGGGACCUGAUCAGUCGCCUAGGAUUGGUACACAACUUGUUAAUUUGGACUAUCGGCCUUAUGUGCUCUUAUUUUCUCCUAUUGACUUAUAAUUUGAUGUGUUUAUGUUUGAAGGAUUUUGGAUAUAUGAGAUGAGAUGAGCUUACGUGGUUUGGUUAUAACUUGGUAUUUGGAGAUUUGGAUUAUUAUCUGAACGGAUUAUUUUUAUCAUU